Molecule: transfer RNA, 57 nt
Filed under: Capra hircus (goat)
Lineage: Eukaryota; Metazoa; Chordata; Mammalia; Artiodactyla; Bovidae
Also listed under: 1 other name
Rfam family: tRNA
About the family: Transfer RNA (tRNA) molecules are approximately 80 nucleotides in length. Their secondary structure includes four short double-helical elements and three loops (D, anti-codon, and T loops). Further hydrogen bonds mediate the characteristic L-shaped molecular structure. tRNAs have two regions of fundamental functional importance: the anti-codon, which is responsible for specific mRNA codon recognition, and the 3' end, to which the tRNAs corresponding amino acid is attached (by aminoacyl-tRNA synthetases). tRNAs cope with the degeneracy of the genetic code in two manners: having more than one tRNA (with a specific anti-codon) for a particular amino acid; and 'wobble' base-pairing, i.e. permitting non-standard base-pairing at the 3rd anti-codon position.
Source: Rfam by way of RNAcentral
UGGCUCAGAUGGUAAAGCAUCUGCCUGCAAUGCGGGAGACCUGGGUUCAAUUCCUAG